AAAUACUUUGCUUAAAAAAUUCUCUCAAUUUUAAUUAGUUUUUUUUUUGUAUAGAGAGCAUAUACACACUACAUAAUAUCCUUAAAUUAUAGUAAAAUUUUCAAAAUACAUAUAUUAUUCAUAAGUGGUGCGAGAUUUCAAAGAGCAUUGUCCGUAUACUUUUAAAAAUUAAUUAAUUUGUAAAGUGAUUGGCUAAUCAAUUAAUAGGUCCAAACCAUAUAAUCAGAUUGUUUCAGUAUAUAUAUAU
This 247-nucleotide unclassified non-coding RNA is filed under the name Hevea brasiliensis (rubber tree). Lineage: Eukaryota; Viridiplantae; Streptophyta; Magnoliopsida; Malpighiales; Euphorbiaceae. The record is from RNAcentral.